GGUCUUGACAUACCGAUGACAGGUCUAGAGAUUAGAUUUUCCCUUUUAGGGCAUCGGAUACAGGUGGUGCAUGGUUGUCGUCAGCUCGUGUCGUGAGAUGUUGGGUUAAGUCCCGCAACGAGCGCAACCCCUAUUGUUAGUUGCCAUCAUUAAGUUGGGCACUCUAGCGAGACUGCCAGUAAUAAACUGGAGGAAGGUGGGGAUGACGUCAAAUCAUCAUGCCCCUUAUGACCUGGGCUACACACGUGCUACAAUGGGAAGUACAACGAGUUGCGAGGCGGUGACGCCAAGCUAAUCUCUUAAAGCUUCUCUCAGUUCGGAUUGUAGGCUGCAACUCGCCUACAUGAAGUCGGAAUCGCUAGUAAUCGCGGAUCAGCACGCCGCGGUGAAUACGUUCCCGGGCCUUGUACACACCGCCCGUCACACCACGAGAGUUUGUAACACCCGAAGUCGGUGAGGUAACCGUAAGGAGCCAACCGCCUAAGGUGGGAUAGAUGAUUGGGGUGAAGUCGUAACAAGGUAGGCGUAGAUGA
This 533-nucleotide ribosomal RNA is filed under the name uncultured bacterium. RNAcentral describes it as "bacterial SSU rRNA". It matches the Rfam family "Bacterial small subunit ribosomal RNA", at positions 977 to 1509 of the family's 1533-position model. The record is from RNAcentral.